UGCGAACUCCUACGGGAGGCAGCAGUGGGGAAUAUUGCACAAUGGGCGCAAGCCUGAUGCAGCAACGCCGCGUGAAGGAUGAAGGCCUUCGGGUUGUAAACUUCUGUCCUAGGGGAAGAAACAAAUGACAUUACCCUUGGAGGAAGCCCCGGCUAACUACGUGCCAGCAGCCGCGGUAAUACGUAGGGGGCGAGCGUUAUCCGGAAUUAUUGGGCGUAAAGAGUGCGUAGGUGGCACCUUAAGCGCAGGGUUUAAGGCAAUGGCUCAACCAUUGUUCGCCUUGCGAACUGGGGUGCUUGAGUGCAGGAGGGGAAAGUGGAAUUCCUAGUGUAGCGGUGAAAUGCGUAGAUAUUAGGAGGAACACCAGUGGCGAAGGCGACUUUCUGGACUGUUACUGACACUGAGGCACGAAAGCGUGGGGAGCAAACAGGAUUAGAUACCCUUGUAGUCCUAUC
RNAcentral lists this ribosomal RNA (455 nucleotides) under uncultured bacterium. RNAcentral describes it as "bacterial SSU rRNA". It matches the Rfam family "Bacterial small subunit ribosomal RNA", at positions 330 to 800 of the family's 1533-position model. The record is from RNAcentral.